UAGCCUAGUGGUUAAGGCUAUGGAUCGCCAAUCCGCAGACGGCGGGUUCGAUUCCCGU
Aedes albopictus (Asian tiger mosquito) is the source of this 58-nucleotide non-coding RNA. NCBI's taxonomy places the organism in Eukaryota, Metazoa, Arthropoda, Insecta, Diptera, Culicidae. The record is from Rfam.